AUCAACCCUAUGAGGUUAUUGAAAUUUAGAGUUUUUAUUUUUAUAAUGUUAUGAUGAAAUUAUAAUGAAAAGUAUAAUUUUGAAAUAUUAGGCUCUCAGAAAAAAUUUUCAAGAUUACUUGGAUCUAUUAGUUGGAUUGCAUUUGCAAGGUAAGUAAUGGAACAUUUUUCUAAAUUUAUGGGCAAAUUAUAAAUAUUUUUUUGAGUCGAAUUAUUCUUGAUUUAUGAAUUUGAUGCAUGGUGUUAUAUGCUUUUUUCUAUAAUAUUGUAUGAUUCUUAAUUGAACGUAUUGGUUUGAAUAUAGAUUAUAUUUGAUUGAUUUCGAUAUCACAUCUUUCAAUUUGGAAUACUGAACAAGUUUUGAAUCGAAACAAAUUUGGACUUGCAGUUGGACUAUGUUGAGAAUCCCGCCAAUAGAAGCUAAUACGUUGGCAUAUGAUUUGUCCUGAAAGUUAUGUCCAAGAUGAUUAGCGAUAUAGCACCAGCAGACUAGCAAUUUUGAAGGAUUUUACUACAAGUUGAUGUGCAGCUCACCACAAGAAGAUUAAUCGGUGUUAUGAUUCUGCCACAGAAAAGCUGUAGUCAUAGCUCUUGGUAGUUGAGUUGAAUUUAAUGAUUUGAAAAAAAUUAAUUUAUGAACGAUAUUUAGAUUUUAGAAAAAUUGAAUUUAGUGUAAGUAAUGAUCACUUUUUCUAAGUUUAUCGGCAAUUAUUAAAUUAUUAUAUUCAUAACUUUUGAGUGGUAUUAUUCAUGAUGCACGAAUUUGAUGCAUAGUAUAUUAUUAUGUAAUAUAAUAUUUUAGAAGGUUAUGACAAUAUAUGAUCUUAUUAUAGAUUUAAUUGAUUGAUUUGACACCUCAUGAUUUUGGAAUUGGAAUAUGAAACUUAGAACUAUUUAAAUUUUGAUUCGGCUAUGUUGGGGACCCCGCCAAUGGGGAUUAAUAUGUUGGCACAUGAUUUAACCUAAAAGUCUUAUCCAAGAUGAUUAGUGACAUACGCCAGCUGACUAGCAGUCCUGAAGGACUUUGAUGUAAGAUGAUAUGCAGCUCACCGCAAGAAGAUUAGUCGGUAUUAUGACCCUUUCACAAGAAACAUGCGGUCAUAGCUCAGAAUCGAAAAGAUGAAUUAAGUAUUUGAAAGAAUAUGAAUUCAUGAAUGAAAUUUAAUAUUCUAAGAAGAAUUUGAUUUAUAUAUUAGUAUUGCAUAUAUGUUUAUUUUCUGCAUAUUAUUAUUUAUUUAAUUGCCUGAUUUAUCUAGCUAGAGUGUUUAUUGCUUACUGGGUUGUUUAGCUCAUGAUACGAUUUUUUUUAUUUUUUAUAUAUUUAGAAAACUAGCCUAAUGGGGUUUUUAAUAUUGGAGAGCGAUUAGAAGAACUGUGGCACAAGUUAUCUCAAAUUAAAGUUUAUUUAAAUUGAUGUUUUAUCUUAGACUAAUAUUAGAAUUGUGAGAUAUUGUAAGAUGAGUUAAUUAAUGAAAUAAAGUUUUCAUAUUAUUAGUUAAAUUAUUUCUACUACCUAAUUUUGAUAUCAUGAUACGAUACAUUGCAUGCUCGUGGGAAGAGUUUCCAAUGAGUGUGCGGUGGUUACUGUGACUCCUGGCUCGCGAUCUCGGAUCGAGGACGUGAUAGAAAUUUAUAGGGGUAACCAUAUAAAUUAUGAGUUGAUAAGGAUAUAUAUGCAAAAAGACAUGCAUACAUAUAGGGCAUAUAUGUAAAAGAAAAAAAAGUCCUGAUUUUAUGUUUCAAAUAAUAGACGUACUUUUGAACACCUUACAUAUUUUGAAUUUAAAAGAUAAUUCUUUACUGGGUAACAGUUGAAUAAGUGACGUUUUUACGGCUAGCUAAUUAUUUAACUCUUACCACGUAAAUUUAUAUGCAGCUUCUCAGUUUACUGUGAUUCUAGCCGUUUAUUUUCUUAUUUUUUGGGGGGUUUUUUGCCCAUCCUGGUGUCUGUUGUCUUCCUCCCUUUUCCUUCUUUUUAAUUAGAUUUCCAGAAGUAAUGAGGCUUUUUUUAGCAUCAGAAAUCUUGGUGUUGUUGCAGCCUUGCAGGACAUCCUUUGUGUAUACAAGGACCUCCCACCUUUUCUCCCUUGAACCAAUCGCUAUUACGGGGUGAGCUUUCCCUUCUUUUCCCUUUUAGGACGUGUUU
RNAcentral lists this long non-coding RNA (2145 nucleotides) under Phoenix dactylifera (date palm). Its description in RNAcentral is "long non-coding RNA (PDAC_LNC013296)". Lineage: Eukaryota; Viridiplantae; Streptophyta; Magnoliopsida; Arecales; Arecaceae. The record is from RNAcentral.